This 18194-nucleotide long non-coding RNA is filed under the name Prunus persica (peach). RNAcentral describes it as "long non-coding RNA (PPER_LNC004264)". The record is from RNAcentral. Lineage: Eukaryota; Viridiplantae; Streptophyta; Magnoliopsida; Rosales; Rosaceae.
UAACAAUCACCAACAAAUCCAACAGGGUUCUAUCUAUGCACCCCUCCUUUUAAACCAAAAAAAUUAAAUUAAAUUUCUCUUUUUAUUUGCAUAUUAUAACAGUGAAUAGUUUUGCUACGGCUGCCAAAUGGGGCCAUCGCCAUUGUAGUUGCUGUAGACCUUGUUGAUUGGACUUCAAAAGCUUUGGUUCAAGAGGUGUGUGGUUUAUGAGAGAAAGAAAAGCUAUUUUGAUAUUGAGUUGGCUCAUUUUUAUAAAAAAAAAAAAUUACAAAAAAGUGAUUGGGAGAUGAGGAGUUGAGGAGUUGAGACUGAGGGCGUGUUUCUUUUUUUUCCUUUCUGGAUUUUUCUUUUUGUUUUUUUUUCCUCUCUGAUUUUUUUUUUUUUUUUUUGGUUUCCUACAAUAAACUGUUAAUUAUUAAACACUAAGAUUCGUUAUUAUUUGCUACCCACCCAUAGUGGGUGGGUUGUCCAACUUACUUAGUCUCUAUCACAUCGCAAUCACUUUAAUGUUCUAUUUAGUUACAAGCCAACGUUACAAGACUCGGUAAUUACAAGAUCUGAUAUAAGUAUUUACAAAUAUUUGCAUCAUUUAGUCACUUUCCAAUGUGGGACUCUACUGUCCUGAUUUUCAAGUGACAUAAUUAAUAAUGGUUAAUAGAACCACAUUAAUUAAUAAUGUUUAAAGUAAAGGGACUUUGCAAAUUCAAUGGCAAAGUGUAUGAUCUCUUAUGUGGACUCAACAUGAGAAACUCUUAUGGAGCCAGAGCUGAGAUUUUGGGAAGAGGGAAAACACCCAUGUAUAUAAGGCUAUGCCUUGCUGGAGCUGCAUCACUGCAUGACCAGUCAAAAGAGUCUGUUGUUUUCUCAGGCACCAGUUAGCACAAACAAAAUUGGCAUGCCUGAUCGGUACUUAGCCACCAGCUUCGCAAUGCUUCCUCCUUCAGUCAGGACUUAGGACUAUAAAAUUCCACAUCGAAAACCAUGGAAUCAAAUUUCCAUAUCUUUCGACCAUUGAAUCAUCAAAUUUUCAUAAAUCUCUUCCCGAGAGAUUCAUGCACCAAGCUCUCAGAGAUUCAGACCAAAGCUCCUGAACAUAGCUUUGCCUACACCAAGAAAACUAUCGAACCAGCGUUUGGGCGCAAGCUCCCUGAGAUUUUUGAUAAUUUUGAAGAUAAACCUGUAGCAUCUGGAAGUAUUGCUCAAGUGCAUCGAUCGAGAGCUACUUUGAGAUUUAGGUACCCUGGUCAACAUGCGAAACCCCAUAGUAGUUGCCGUAAAGGUCAGGCAUCCUGGUGUUGGUGAAUCGAUUAGGAAAGAGUUUGUUAUAAUCAAUCUGGUAGCAAAACUUUCAAACUUCAUUCCUGCUUUAAAGUGGUGGAGAUUGGAUGAUAGCGUAUAGCAGGUUGUAGUUUUUAUCAUGUUGCCCAUUUGAGCAAGGGAAGCUGCUCAUUUGCAUCCACUUGUCCAUCCUGCUGUUUUGGUGGAAACUUAUGAACAAGGGGAAUGUUGUAUAAUGCGUGGAUUUUGUGUCCCUUAUUAAAAAUUUUGUAAAAAAAAAUUAUGUGUAUUAAACACGAAAAAUACAUACGUACAUGUAUAAUACGAGUAUUGUAUGUUUGGUUUUCAAUGACUUGGACCUUGGGGCUCUUGGGUUCUCGGGAAAUCUAACUAAGACAACCAAACGAAAUAAGUAAUUUAUUUUUUUUUGACUUCCAUUUAACUUCAAGUACUUACUAUUUAUUAAGUCAUUUGUUAAAUCAGUAACAUAUAUAAAUAUUGACUAAAGAUAUAAUAAUCAAAACAAAAUUGCUAAUUAAAGUAAUUCAAAAAGGCUAAGAUAUUACUUUAUUAAAUAUAUUAAAUAAAAGAAGUUGACCCAAAAAACAAAAUUAAAGAAACAAAUUUUAUUUUUUUUCCAAAAUUAAUACAAAAAACCUCUCCCAACGAAAGGUUGUCAGCACAUAUCUACGCCGGCGAAAUUUGCUGGAUUAGCAAUGUAUAGCCGCACGACUAUACUAUUUCUUUUCAAAAAAUUUAAAUAUCCGAGUACAACCGCAUUACAACUUAGAAUUUUGUGUAUAAUACGUGAAUUUUAUGUGUCUUAUUGAACUUUUUAUACCAAAUACGUGUAUUAAACACGUAAAAUACGUACGUACCUGUAUAAUACUAUUUUUCCAACAUUAACUGAAUGUGGCUAUACUAUUUCCUUUAAAAAAAAUUAAAAAUCCGAGUCUAGCCGAAUGGCUAUACGUUAGCAAACAGCGUAAAGCCGCUCGGCUAUACUAGUUUAAAAAACAAUUCUGGGUAUAGCCAGUCGGCUAUACUAUUUAUAUAUAUAUAUUUUAAAAAAAGACACCCGCACAUCGCCUAUGCGCCACGUGUAAAAAAAAGUUAAAGCCAAGUGUCUAAACUAUUUUUUUGACAAAAAUCAGGGGCAAACCGAGUAUAGCCGUGCGGCUCUACAAUUUUUUUCAAUUCUUAUUUAAAAAAUUCGGGUAUAGCCGCACGGCUGUACUAUUUUGGCACAUUACAACUUAAAAGUUCAGCCACUAUAUUAUAUUUUAAUAUAAAUUAUUUUUAUUCAAUAAUGCGUGUGAAUUUUGUGUGUAAUAAGUGAAUUUUGUGUGCCUUAUUGAAAUUUUUGUAAAAAAAGUAUGCGUAUUAAACACGAAAAAUACAUACAUACUUGUAUAAUACGAGUAUUGUACGUUUAGUUUUCAAAGACUUGGGCCUUGGGGCUCUUGGGCUCUUGGAAAAUCUAAUUAAGACAACCAAAUGGAAUAAGUAAUUUAUUUUUUUGACAUUCAUUGAACUUCAAGUACUUACUAUUUAUUAAGUCAUUUGUGAAAUCAGUAACAUAUUUAAAUAUUGACCAAAGAAAUAAUAAUUAAAACAUAAUUACUAAUUAAAGUAAUUCAAAAAGGCUAAGAUAUUACUUAAUUAAAUAUAUUAAAUAAAAGAACUUGGCCCGAAAAACAAAAUUAAAGAAACAAAUUGUAUUUUUUUCCAAAAUUAAUGUAAAAAACCUCUCCCGGUGGAGCAUGCUGGAUUAGCAGAGUAUGGCCGAACGGCUAUCCUUUUUAUUUUCAAAAGAAUAAAAAAUUCGAGUAUAGCCGCACGGCUGUACUCUUGUGCCACAUUACAACCUAGAAUUUUGUGAAUAAAACGUGAAUUUUAUGUGCCUUAUUGAAAUUUGUAUACCAAAUACUAGUAUUAAACACGAAAAAUACGUACGUACCUAUAUAAUACUAUUUUUGCAACAUUAACUGAAUCUCGAUUCAACAUUAGCAUAGUAUAGCCGCCCAUGAAGAUGAGGGGCCAACUGUAGCUGAGGUUUAUUCCCUAGCCACGGGCACAUGGAGGAGUCUUGGUUGUGUUUCUCCUGCAUGUGGAACAAAUGGAGCUGCAUCCAAUGCUUUUGUUAAUGGGGUUCUUAAUUGGCCUGUAGUCUCAGACGACGAUGGUUGCUAUUUUAUUUUGACGUUUGACUAGGGCAAGAAGAUGUUUGGAGUGGUGGAGUGCAUCCAUAUGAACUCAAGAAGAUUGUGCAGAAUUUGGACCCCAUGGAGAAUUGAAAUGGAAAAUUGAAUAUUAAUUUUUCCAGUACAUAUAUAAUUGAACAUUAAUUUUGAAUGAAGAAGAAUAUUCAUUAUGAGUCAUGACGAAGGAAAAUCUUGUUUAACUUUAUUUGAGUGAACUAUACUUUUUAAACAUGACUAUACAUACUGGCCAAAACAUUGCACCUCCUUUAAAAAAUUCCUGAGUUCGCCAAUGCCUAUACUAUUUAUUAAGAGUGCUGCUAUUUCCACCCAUCUGUCCUAUUUUCUCACCCACCUUAUUUUCAAAAAUUUUAAGACAAAUUUACCCAUGUAUAAAAUGACUUCUAAGGACUUAGGGACAAAACCAAUCUCCCUCACCUAAGUGUGAGCAACCAUUUUAUACCAGCCAUUGAAUUAAUCUCACAAUACAUAGAGCCUUUUAUUAACUUAAAUUCUUGACCCGCACAUUGCACACAACUUCUUCUUCCUCAUCUAGCCAUUCUCUUUGUUUUCUAAAAGCUUCCCAAGGUUUUACUAUUUUUCCAUCAUAAAUCUGAUUUCUCUCAAAGGUACUAUCAUUUUCUCUGCGAAAUAAAUGUGGGCAAAAUUAAUUUUCCCUUCAAAGGCUCUUAUUAUCCUUUUAAGAUUUCAUGAAAUUCUAUGUAAUGAAGUUGUUUAAUUUUCGUCUAUUGCCUAUAAACAACAAGCGAUUGGGAUUAUUUGAUUGAGGGAGAUCAACAUGAUAGGAGCCUGGGGACCAUAAGCAUUUGAACCCAUGCUUUAACUUCAUAUUCUUCAACCACAUAUGUACUAAAAUAAAUAAAUAAGACAUUAAAGAAGACCUAAAAGAAAAUAAAUACUCAAAUCCCCUCUUAUACCGCACACAACCCCUCUCAUCACAAAGCACAUGUGUCACCUCCUCCUGGAUGAGAAAGAUGGAUGAACUCUUGAAAGAACCACAAUCGGCUUGGAGGAAAGAAAGAGGGUUUCCCUCAAUACGGGUCAAGAAGUAAAAUGGAUAUUCGUUGGGUUUUUGAAAGAAUUUGCUUUGAAUUAAUAAUUAAAGGGUAUUUUAGGAAUAAUGGUGGGUGGAAAGAUAGGGUUUUGUUUUUUUUUUUAAUUUACAUGGUGGGUGGGAAGAUAAGGUGGGUGAGGAAAUUAGACAGGUAGGUGGAAAUAGUAGCACUCUUUAUUAAAGACAAUUUAUAAAUAAAAAACCAGUAUAGCCACUCAGCUAUACUAUCUACUAGAGAGAGAGAAAAAAAAAAGAGCAACGCCUAGGUGCUUACAUGCAAAAUAGUAUAGCCGUGCGGCUAUACGUUUUUAAAAUUGAAAAACUGACCAUAGCCAGGCGGCUGUACUAUGUGUUGGUGAUCGCAACUAGGACGGUGUAAUGUCCAUUAAUCAUGAAAAAUAUUUAUUGGUAUUUUUUUAAAAACAAAACUCCAUCAUUAUUAAUGGUUUUAUUGUAUAAGUUAUUUGGAAUUUAAAAAAAAAAUAUUUUAGGGAAGUAUUCGUUUUAUUUUUCAAAUGUUUAUUUAAUUAAAUUUUUAUUAUUGUUUAUUCUGGAUAGACGAUUUUACCCUUAAACUUAAUAGCAAAAUUGACAGACUUUGACGGUAUGACCAAUUUGACACUAAAUAGAGAGUUGGAGGGCUAUUGAAAUGAAAAUUUUAGUUGGUGGACUAACAUGAGAUUGGAGCAAAAGUUGCGAGACCAUUUCGGUCAAUAACCAUGCAAAUAAAGAUGUGUUGAGGCCCAAAAAAUCCAAGGCUGAGCCCAGAUAUAUUUAUAGCCCAGUAUGACACCUAACUUGGGAAGAAACCCGACUUGAGUACGCAGGAGUUCAUCAUAUGCGCUUGCAUACAUGCCACGCCAAGCAAAUAUGCAACAUACCAUGCAGAAAGGUCAUAACAAGCCCGUAAAAUGUACUAGUUCUAUGAACCCAUACUCAUUAUCCCGUUAAGAGCCAUUUUGGCCCAACCAUAGCCUUUACAAAACGGCAAAGCUCGAGCACAAGCACGCCAAACGAAAAAUUCUUAUUUUUGCACCAAGCCACGCUACAAGUUUAAGUAGGCCCAAGCCACGCGAAUGCCUAGGGCUUGCUGAGCGCGUUGUGGUAUGGAUGGUUACGAGUAUUCACGAGGCUCAUUGAUGGUCCAAUGAGUGAAAGUUUUGGGUUAUUUGGGAGCACCAAAACUCAAGCUCAUUCCUUAAGCCCAAACAUAUAGGUAAGAAUAAGAGAGAAAACCCAAUAGCCCAUCACCUUAAGAAAAUGCCCAAACAUCUUAGAAAAUAUCCAAUAGCCAUAGCCCACAACACUUAGAAAUAUCCCACAUCAGUCAAAAUAUCUAGCACCUUGUCAAAACCAAGGCAAACCCAAGUGAACACAAGCUGCUCCCAGCACCUUGUCAAAACCAAGGCAAACCCAUAUGCACAGGUUGCUGGAAGUAAAUAACCUUUUGACCAACAUCCUUACCCAUUCUUUCCUCUGCAAGCUCUGGUGGGAAAACAAGAAGGAAAAGCAAGGGGCACCUCACCCAGAUGGAGGAUUCCAGCAGUAGGAAAGUCUUGGAACCCUAAAAAGCUCUGCUUCUAUGUGUCUGGGUUGAGGAGAUUUCACCAAAAAAGGAUUGAAUGGAAGAAAGUGAAGAAAAAUAGAGAAGAAGACUUGAUAAAAUUGAGGGCUUCCAACUCCUAUAAAAGGAGGUACCUUCUACCCAGUAAAACAACUCUUCCAGAGCGAGCAACAUCCUUACUCAUUGCUGUAAGCAUCAAUUUCAUGCUCUAUUCUUUCAUCUUCUUCCUCUCUCUCCCAUAACCAUAUCCAGAGAGAGCAAGCAUCCCCUCUCACUACUGGAACCCUUCAAUUUCAUGCUCUGUUCUUCCAUUUUCUUCCUCUCUCUCCUAUAACCAUAUUCAGAUAUAGCAAGCAUCCCCCUUCACUAUAGGAACCCCUUCAAUUUCGAGCUCUGUUCUUCCAUUUCUCUUAUGGAAAAACACCCAAGAGAGUGACGAAGCUUUUGUCAAGCUGCUGGAAGAUUUGCUCAAGCCACCCAUUCUUCCACGCUUAUCUUUUCCUCUCUUCCCUCAACAAAUCCUCUCAAAAUUUCAUCUCCCCUUGCUUUGAACCCCUGUUUCUCAUAGGAAAUCCAAGUCUUCUCUCUCUAAUACUAAACUCAUAAAUACUUAGCUCUCAUACCACAAGCUUCUCAAGCUAAGCGAAAAUGUUUAUCUAUAAGCAACUGUUGGUUUUGUUGGUAAAGGAAACCAAGGUGCUUCCUAAGGCUCCACGAACCUCUCGAAGCACUCUUGGAGCCUGAUUUUUGAACUCAGACACAAGGGUAACUCUAGCCAUUUGCUCUUUACGGCAGCUCACGCCUAUCUGUAGCUGCUGGAAUAAAAAAAACCCAACAAGAUGCAUAUAUAAAAGAAGUGUUAUUCGUUUUAUUAGUCUUUGAACUUUGACCCGAUUUGCAUUUGAGUCCCUCAAUUUUCAAAACGUUCCCUUAGUCUUUCAACUUUAGUUUCGUUAGGACAAAUGGUCAUGCCGUCAAUUUUGUUAACUUUUUCUAUUAAAUGCAGAGGUAAAAUGAUAUUUUUGUAUUAUUUUUAAAUUCCUAUUUAUGAAUAUUCCUUCCACCCAAAAAAUAAAAUUAUAAAUUAUAAACUAAAAAUUAAAAAAAUCUUAUUCCUAUCCUCAGUCAAACUAAUAAUUAAAAAUUAGUUUAUUCCUAAAAACUUGAAUUUUUUUUUCUUAUUAUUUUUUUAUUUUUAAUAUUUUAUUCAUAUUUUAAUCAAUUUAAAAUUAAAAUAUAUAGAAAAAUACCAUUUACCCCUGCAUUUAACAGAAAGGUUAACAAAAUUGACGACAGGACUAUUUGUCCCUCAAUUUUCAAAAUUGUUCCCAUGGUCCUUCAACUUCUGUUUCGUUAGAACAUAUAGUCAUACCGUCAAUUUGUUAUCUUUUAUGUUAAAUGCAAGGGAAAAAUGGUACUUUUUGUAUUAUUUUUAAUUUUCAUAUUUUGAAUAUUCUUUUCACCCAAAAAAUAAAUAAAUAAACUAAAAACUAAAAACCUUCUUCUUAUUCUCGCCACAGUAGCCAUAACCCCUUGACCAUGUUUGACUGAGGAUAGGAAGAAGGUGUUUUAGUUUUUAGUUUUUUUAUUUUUUGGGUGAAAGGAAUAUUCAAAAUGUAGAAAUUAAAAAUAAUACAAAAAUAUCAUUUUGCCUCAGUAUUUAACAGAAAAAGUUAACAAAAUUAAUGGCAAAACCAUUAUUCCUAACGAAACUAAAGUUGAUGGACCAUAGGAAUGAUUUUGGAAAUUGAGAAACCAAAAUAUGAAUCGGGUCAAAAUUCAGAUACCAUUAGAUCUGAAAACCCUUGUGGUGAAAUAGGUAUGAGAGAGAAUAUCUUAAGGGAAUAGUUGUUCAACCACGGAACAAACUCAAGGUAUUAUGAUAUUAUAUUUUCAUCUUCAUUUUUUUUAUUAUAAAUGUUUGUGAAUGUAACACUUUGCUCUCACAUAUUGCAUUUUUCGCAAAACACAAUCAACAUCUUUAUAUAGUGGAGAGUUUCAACUUAAGAAUAAGAAAUCUUAUCAAGUAAGUACGAUUGGAAAUCAAGAAAGCAACAAAUAAAGUAAAGUUGGGAGUUUUAACCCACUCCAUAUCCAUCUUUUUUUUUCUUUUUUUUUUUUUUUUUUUUAUUUUUUUUAGACCACACAUUCCAAGAAAGAAAAGAUGUACACACAAAAGCCAUGCUCCAGAAUGAAAUGGCAAAUCCACACAGUACCACGUUUGUGUACCAGGAGACACGUGUACGCCAACAUCUCAGCAUUGUCAUUUCUUCUGUUUUCUUCAUAAUCCAUAUGCCUUGGAAACUUCCUUCAUUUGUCUGUGUCUUAUUGCAAUCUGAGAGCUGGUGUUCAGCCAUGAGAGGCCAUCUUUUUCCUCUGCACACCUUCUCAUCAAGGUCCUCCUCACUUUUGAGGUCCUUAACAGCAUGCCACAACCAGGUAAGUUUCAAAUCACCAAUUAAUUUACAUCAUAAUCAUGUUCAUGAUCAUACCCUUCCUUAAUCUGUAAUUAAUUAAGGUACCCUUUAAGUCAAAAUAGGAUAUAUAACAUUGAUUUCUAAUAUGAUUGGGUGAAUCAAUUGGGGCUUAAUUGCUAUAACAUGUGGAUUUUUUUAAUACAAGUGAUAAACUAUUCUAAAUUAGUCCAAUUUGCGGAGAGAGGGACUAGAAAUUGGUGCAAGGACGGGCUCAUUAUCCAGACUAACUGACCUAAUCCACGUUUGCUAUGUGGAACUUUAAUUCAGAGGUACCAAAGCAGUCAAGUUAGCAAGGGAGAGCACAGCAGCCACAUGAAUAUAGAAGAGAGAGCACCUUCAACAGCUGAGGAGUUCAAAAGAGUUGCUGAGGAGAAGCUGAAGAAGGCAGAGCAAGGUGUAGCUAGUCAAACUGCUGACAAGACAUGUGAUGCGACAGAGGAAACUACCUUGGGUGACUCCAGCGUUGACUCUGUCAAGAACAGGUUCAAGCAACAUGAACCUGGUGCUGCUGAUUACAGAAGGAGGUCACAUGAUGACUGAAUAAUUUUGAUUGCCUAAUCAAUACUUUGUUUUGAUUUUCUGAGCAAUAAAAGAAAAUCUGGAUAUCAUAAAGAUUAAGAGCCAAGGGAAGCCAGAUUGUGUAAAUUAUAUAUAUCCAAGAACUCAACUUCAACUUGGUUGAGGAGUGUUAAUAUAAACCUUCAAUCUUUGCGCUCAUUUAUAUGGUAGCAAGCAAUUGCACUUGUGUACUUGGUAGCUUUAAUUGAAAACUUGAAAUAUAUGUACAUAAAGCUGCUGCUGCUGCUGCUUAUUUGGAUCAUGGUCUGCAACUGCAAUUCAUUAAUAGGGCUGAUACAUGAUCACGUUGUUUUCACCUUUGCAAUAUACUCAUAAGUUACAUCCUGCGUUGUAACUGAUAGCAUUCAAAGGUUGAUGAAUCAACGUACGUUUGCUCCAAGCAAUUUGAAUUUGACAACCAUUUUUGGAUGCUCUGCAAACUCAUCGGCUGGGUCAUAUAAUUCCAGCAUCAAUAAAAAUUAAAUACAUAAUCCCCAAAAUGUCCGUGAAUAUCAUAACUCCUUCCUUGAGCAUAUUGGGUUUUUGUUUGUCUUAUGCCACAUAUGCACCUAAUAGAAAUGUAAGCUAUAACUUUUGUGUUGGUUGUAAAGCAGCAGACUGUGUGAUUCAAAUAUAUUAUGAACCGCGGAAUUUAGUUGCAUUGACUUGCAGAUCAGUGGUCUCAGAUUUGAAUCUUUAUGACACCAUGAUAGUGAGAAAUCCCUCUCUCCUCCAUUGUAGUUUUAUACUAUCGCUUAUAUUCCAAAAAAAAAAAUUAUAUUACCAACCAAUCAACAAGAACCAUUCAUCUAGCUAGAAGUAAGUGUCAAUAAUAACAACUGCAAAAUGAAAAUUGGUAAACUUAUUUAUCUCUUUCUGUCAAAUAAUUAAACUUCCUUUAUUCCCCCUUUGCAUUUCUUUCUUUGUACAUUGGGUUAGUAAUGUAUGGUGCUUUGCUUCACAAAAUUAUCAGACCCUUCAAAGACACUUUCAUACAUACAUCCUAUUAGCUAGCUAGAAGCUAUUAAUGGUUGAUUAAGAGACAGAUAAUCACCUUCUAAUCUAUCCAAUUUAGCAAGAACCCCAACUAAUGUUGCUGUAUUGUAAGUACAUGCCUCAGUCUGCAUGUAAUUCCACCUUUCAUCCCUGAAUCCAUCAUUGCCAUCUGGCCCACCAACUAGGGCCCCAACAAGCACAUUUGGGUUUGGAUCAUGCAUCCCAUACCAGCUAUCAUACCCCUCAGUGCACCCAAUAAAUCCUUUGUUCCUCUUGUAGGACUCUAUAGAUGCUCCUCUGUGGUGCAGCCUUUGGGGGUAUUUUGGACCAUAACCCACCAAGUAACUCAUGGCCGUUGGAUUAGACCCCAAAAUGUAAUCAACCUGUGAUUUGGCAAAAGAUAGGAGUUCUUGUGGGCCCACCUGCCCUUUAUCACAAGUUAGAUUCUGAUGAGUGGCUUGGAGAUAAUCAGAGUAUGUCGUGAGUAGAAAUGCUGCGUUGGAAACAUACUGCAUGUUGUUCCACUGGCGGAUGUACAAUAAGCCUCCUGGGGUGCGUUGCACAUUAGUGACAUUGUUUUUGUCAAGGCAAGCACAAAUGUAAAACUCUGCUUUUGAACGGUAUUGUUCCAGUAUGUGCAUGUGUUGCUUAUGCUUCUCCUCUUUUAGCAACUGAAAAAGAAAACGUAUAUGAGAGUUAAGGAAUUAAAACCAAUUAAUUAUAUAUUUGUUCAGUCAUCACAUGGUAAGUCAAAUCCCCUAUUAUAUAUUAAAACCAAUUAAUUAUAUAUUUGUUUAGUAAUCACAUGGUAAGCCACAUCCCUAUUAUAUAUAGGGUUGUGAAAGGGCUUGAUUUGCUGUCUCAAGUUCGAGCUCGCGUUGCGCAUUGGUAGUGUAUGCGUUGAGAAAACCCUCCUUCUCCCUUAUAGUUUAGAUUAUCGUUUGUAUUGUUAAAAAAUAGGAAUAAAAAUAGAAGUGGAAAAGUGGUCAAGAUUGAGAUUAUGUACCAUUGAAGCAAUGAUCUGAACACCAGCAUACUUAACAUCCCAGCUAAACUCUUUGAUGGCCCAAGUGGUGCCUCCAAAAGCCUGAGCAUUGUUCAAAGCAUACUUCAAAUAAUCUUCAUUGUUUGUGGCCUUGUACAACCACAAAGCUGCCCACAGCAACUCAUCCAUGUACCCACUCCAAGAUGUGUAGUGCCCCUUGACCACUUCAAUGCUCUCAUCAUACUUCCCCCUGUACUUGUCACCAAGCUCAAACAACUGCCAACAAAUCCAAAUCCCAGAUUAAUUAUUAUAUGAAUUUCAUAAUAUUGGACCUUAUAGUAAAAUAUCCGAGAGUGCAUAUUGGCCAAAGGUCCAAAAACCAUUACAUUUUGGUAACCAGUACACCCACUUUGCAUAUUUGUAUAUCAACCUUUUAUAUUUCUAUACAUGACAACUUCACAUUAAUUAACUAUAAAUAUGAUACCUGUUGUGCAUGGUGCAAGAGUAGGCCAGAGUAAUGUGGGUUGGUUUUCCUAAACACAAUGGCAGCUGCCGCCAUUGCCGCCGCUGUCUCGCCGGCAAUAUCUGAUCCGGGGUUGUUCUCAUCAACCUUGUAGGCUUGACGAGACGUGGUCAUGUCCUCAGGCCUUUGCCAACAGUAGUGAUCCGUAAAUCCAUCACCCACCUAAAAUCACAAACUCAUAAUGAAUCAAUUGAACCGACUCAACUUUUUAAGAGUAUGAUAUGUUAUGUUACAAAACUACGAAUAUAUAUAGGGUAGAAAUUCAUUCAAGUAAAAAUUCAUUUGACAUUAUUAUUGAAUUAUUACCUCACCCCACAAAACAUUUGGGUGAGUAUGGGCCUUGAUGAAAUAAUCAGUCCCCCAUUUGAUGGCUUCCAAAGCAUGCUUAUACUCUCCAGCUUCCUCCAUUUCUCCGCCGUAUUCAAUCACACCCCAAGACAGCAUUGUUAUGGUAAAUGCCAUUGGCAGACCAAAUUUCACAUUGUCACCAGCAUCAUAGUACCCUCCCACCAAGUCCACCUGAAAAUACACAUGAAGGCCAAACAGAACGGCACAGCAUUAAACACAAAGAGCACAUUUAUUAUAGGAGUGGGCACGGUCCGGUUCGGUAAAUUGAAGAUUUGUAAUGAAAAAAUGGACUGACCCCUUGUUCAAGGCCAUCGGUAAGGCCAGAAUGGUGACGCCAAGUGACCCUUUGGUUGUAGGGUAGGCGCCCAGAACGCUGGGACUCAAAGUAGAGGAGGCUCUUGGAGAGGGCGUCGCCGUAGUCGAAGGACUGAGAUGAGGAAAUGAGAGCAAAGAUGGAGAGUAGAGCACACCAUUGUUGGAGGACAAUACCUUGCUUCUUAUUGUCCUCCAUAAUAUGAUUAAGAUUUUUUGGUUUCUUCUCUCUUUUCUUCCUCCCACCAGGGGCCUCUACCUAUUUAUAUUCCUGGUGUGAUUUGUGUGAGGUCAAGACCACGUGAGCUUCAUUGGGGGCGCCCAUUUGAUUGGCCAAUCCCAGGAGUCUUUUGCUCUGUAUUUUGACUUUGGCGAGUAUGAAUGCCACGUGAUAGGAAAAGAUUGAUAUAAUUCUUUCCCCAAUUCUUGUACAAGUUAUUUACACUAACACCCUCUCCGAUUUUCGAUUUUUUUUUACAAAAUUCUCUAAAUUUUUGGAAAUUACACGAAUAUCUCCUGAGAUUUUAAAAUGCUUUACAAAACCUCUUUUUGUUGAUUUUUCAUCGAAGAUAGAUGAUUUUAUAAUUUUAUAUAAAAAUAAUAAUUCUCCAAAUGACAAAGCUAGCCUUUGAUAUUAGACUACACAUACAUUCACUGAGGUUGAUUUUGCCAUUUGCACAACUUUUUUUAUAAUGAAAUCAUCAAGUUUUAGACAAGCAAUCAACGAAAAUGAAUUUUGUGAAAACUACAAAAUCUCAGGAAGUGUUUAUGUCAUUUUUAAAACCCCAUAAAAUUUUAUAAAAAAACCGAAAAUAUAAAAAUGUUAGUGCAAAUAACUCUUCACGUAGUCCAAAAAAAAUUGGACACAGAGAAUAUCUGCGCAAUAAGAAUACUAAUUACAUAAAUUUUAAUUUAAAAGGGAUACUAUCACGCUAGAAUUUUCUAAUUGGGCGCAUCACAUUUGACCGCACACUCAUAGACGAUUCUGAAUCAUAUAUUGGAACAUGUGUAAUACACAUUCAUUAAUGAUUCACAAUCGUGUCGUCCAUUAUAUGCCUGGUUUUUUAUUUAUUUAUUUUUAUUUACAAGAUUUUUGCUAUAUAUACAUAUUCUACUCAUAUUCUUAUUAGUAAUUUUUAGUUUGAAAAAAUUGGUGCUUUUACUCGUCAUUAUGGGCUUGAAAUUGGCUAGAUACGGAUAUGAAGUGCUCUCCUUGAAAUGAGAUUGCUCUAAUUAAGGUUUUGACCAAGAUCGGGGAAUAUUAUCUGGACUAAUUUAGCCCCCAAUCAUGUUAAUUAUGUUGAGCAUGAAAAAUAAGGUUGAUUUGAUGACUUGGAAAGAAUAGACAACCCGUCGGAUCAACCUUUGCAACUAAUUAGUUGCAUGAGUUUCUUUGUAUAGAAUAUUAUCUGAUAGCACCGCUGAUUUAUAAACAUGUUGGUUGGGCAUUCAAAAUUUGAAAGCCGUCGAAUCCAACAAAUUUAAUUAAGGUGGGAGUUAUGCUAACUCAUCAUGUUUAUCAACAUUUUUAAGAGGGUUGUUGAAAUUGAUGCUUAGGUGACGAGGGGUAAAAUUAUACGAUACUCAAACAAAACAUAACAAUCUUCACACACUUUUGACCUUGACCAAAUAUACUUAUGACUAGUCAACUGCUAGUCAUAAAUAAACAUAACCACACACAGAGCAUACCAAUCUGUACUUGCAAGUUUAAAAGAUUACUGGUGACAACCUAGGCACUCAAAAUGACCCGUCAAUCGAGGCAUCCCAUGUGCUACCAACAACUAGGGUAAAAAUGUGUGAAGGCAUCAUAAUCAAGUAAACACCAAACAACAUACAAUGAUGACUAGUUAAUCGCAAGAACACAAACCCAGAAAUACAUGAACAUUCUGCGAUGACUAGUCAACUAUUAAGAACACAAACCCAGAAAAUUACAGAGAUGCAAACUAGAAAUUGUUCACCCAUAAACCCAUCACUAGGAAAAACUGGGGGUCAUCAACUAACCAGGCAAUCCACAAAGCAAAAAAGAUUCUUAUAAAGAAACACAAGCAAGCUCAAGAAAUCCUAAAUCUAUUUAGGAAGAUAAGCUAUACCUCCUUUGUGCAAUCUUCUUCUCCAACUUAGCAAAACCAUCAGCUUAGUCCUUCAUGGCAAUGGUAGCUCCUUCUGCAACUCUUUCAUCCCAUGGCACCAGCUAGCCAGCUCAAACUCAGACAGAAACCAAAAUUUGGAUUCAAAGGAAAAAUGACCAAUUUCUUUAAGAAACCAUACUCUUGAAGAAAUGAAUCUUGAAUCUGACCUAGAGAUAUAUAAGAGAGCGUUUGACCUAGCUAAAUGCAAAUUUCAUAUUUUCAAAAGCAGUUUUCGAAAUAAUCAAUUUGGAAGAAGAGGAGAAAGUUAGCAAGAAACUUUCCAAAAACUUACAUCUAAAAGAGACGGAUGCCAAAUGAGGAAUUCUUUGGCUUUUACCCAAAAAUUCCUAGGUCAGAAUAAUACACAUGGCAGCUUAGAAAAUUCGCAUAAUAGGACAAAAACGUUUGUUAGGAUCCAACUGGAAAUCCUACUGAUGCAAAAGUUGACUAGUCAUACGAAAGCAGUUGAGAAAAUUCGCAGAAUACGACAAAAAAUUUGGUUAGGAUCCGGCUAGAAACUAGCUAGAAAUCCUACUGAUGCAAAGGUUGACCAGUCGUACGAAAGCAGCUGAGAAAAUUUGCAAAAUAUGACAAAAAAGUUUCAGUGAGCUGGAAAUCCUACUGAUGCAAAGGUUAACUAGUCAUACGAAAGCAGCUGAGAAAAUUUGCAGAAUAUGACAAAAAAGUUCCAAUGAGCUAAAAAUCCUACUUUUGCAAAGGUUGACUAGUCAUACGAAAGAAAGAUGACUAGUCAUAAUCUUAAGAAAUUUAGUGAAUGCAAUAUGAUGCAAUGUAGAAAUUACCUUUGUUAAACACAUUGAUUAUCCAUCAGAUUGUAGCCAGAUAAGAACACCUAGAGAAAUCAUUCUUAAUCUAAACUAGAGCUUGGGAAAUUACAAUGAUUGUCCUAUUACAAUAUUGUCAAGGGAAGCCAAAAGAAAAACACAAAAUGCAUACACUUACAGUUGUUGACCCGCUUGACUAGGUGGGUCAACGUAACACUUUAACUAUUACAUUUGGUAAAGAUUAAUAUAAUAAGCAUCUCCAAUAGUAGUAGUAAAUUAAACUCUUCAAAUUAAAGUUUGUUGAUAUAUGUAGCAAUUUAAAAAUGUUUGUUUGCUACUUUAAUAAUUUGUGCUCUACCAGAACCGUCAAAGCACCUAGAAGAAAACAACCACCAAUUAGCGAGCAAGCAUGAGACAUAACCCAAAGCUAAUUGAACGAACACCAAGAAACCUGAAGGAGGUAGUGCAAGCACCCAAGCUAUAUCUCUAUGCUUUUUACUAUAUGUACGCUAGAGAUCACGUUUAGGAUUUGUCGAUGUAACCCAAGGGAGAAGGAGAAUCUGAGUGAUAGACAGACAAGUAAUAGUCUGUCAAUGUUAGCAUCCUUUUUUUAAAUAUUAAAAAACACAAACGAUAGUUUAAACUACAAGGAGAGGGUUUCUCCACACACUACCAAGAUGUCAUGGGAAUUCGAACCUAAGACUACUGGUUUGCAAAUCAAUGCAUUUUUCCACUGGACAAGACUCGUUGGCCUUUUUAGUUAUUCCAAAAGCAGUUCCAUUCUAUAGUGAGGGCCUUAUAUAUAGCCCUUAGGUAAGGUUCUAUCUCUUAUUUUAGAUCAUGCUAACUAAUUUGAUCCAACGAUUAACUAAUUUGAUUCAACAAUUAAGAGAUAAUGCAUCACUUAAAGGCCAUAUAUAAGGCCUUCACCUUAGAAUUCUUGUAUAAAGCUAAUUAAGCUUAUUGAAGUUGCGGGCCUCUAGGGCACCAUUCUGUAUAGCCCGCGCCGUACCACAUAUCCUCGUCGAUGGUCAUUGAUUUCACCACAUUGGCAAUUUUGUAGUUUUUUGCAGCUAAAGCAACCAAACAUGUUGCUGCUCGCCCCUCUGAAUCCUAUAUGUGCAGCAAAAUCAGCAUUGUCUCCCUCCUCAUGUCCAAUGCAUCAAGGAAAAUAUGUAUGGUGCCUAGUCUCCUCUUUCUAAACGCGGUGUCUUCAGCGCUUGAAGCUUUGCGUCUUCACUAUUGAGCAGGACUUCAGAAAUGUCCAAUUUGAAAUUGUAGAGAGGAGAUUCGUGGGCUCUAUGACAAUAUAUCAAGAGGCAGGUGGGAACUCUACCCGAAUUUGAGCAGAAUUUGGGAUAAGCUUGCACACCCCAAUCUUAUUAAUGCUAACUGGUCUUUCUCCAUUUUGGUCCUGUUCCACAAUAGGUCAACUUCUCCUAACGGGUCUUGGAUGUUGCAUUUUCAAUCCUUCAAUUUCCUGGAUGGUGGUUGACUGGCUAGUGCGCUAGAGAGGUUUGCAAAGGCGGAGUUUGUGGAAUAUUCUUAUAUGUUAAUGCCAAACUCAAAUCAACUAUGCAAAUGCAACAAAUACGGGCAAAGCAAGAGAAAUUAUCAAUGAAAACACCUCAGGAACAACAACUCACCUACUAGUAAGUAGGUGCUGCUGCUGACCCCAAAAAUCAUAAAAAUAUAAAAACAAGGAAGCAUGUGAAAAGUACUAUGAUGACAACUGAAAAGGGAAGUUAACUAAAAAUUACAAUUAAAACAUCCGAAUAAAAAUUAUCCGAACUGACCACUAGAGGAGUGUAGGAAAUACAGAUGGAUUCCUGAAGCACAGGUGCCAAAGAUUUAAUCUAGGGGCUGAGGGCAAAUGUAAAGCAGCUGCCAAACACUGGCUCUAAUCUAAUGCAACAUGCAAAGCGAAAAAAAUAAUAAUGUUAGUGAAAACAUAUAAGAAGAUUUCCCCUUAACAUUCAUAACAGUAGGUAGGUGUUGGCUCCAAGUAUCGUACUACAAUCGAAGGGUACAGAAUCAUGCAAAUAGUCCUAUCACUGUUAUUUGAUAGGUGAAACAAUUUGUUCAGUAACUUGACCAAAAUAACUAUUAAAACACUCAAAUUUAAAUGAUCCUAAGCUAAUCUGACAAAAACUCAUAAAUGCUAAUGGCACUUGAUCAAUGUCAAUGAUGUCAAGGCUUCUUCUCAAAAUGUCUUAAUGUUUAAUGUGAUACAUGCUCUUGUAUGCAAAGUAACAUGCAGAUUUAUCACCUAAACAUUGGCUCCAAUGACAGACAAGGCCAUUUAAACCAAACCUACUUGCCAGCAAGGAUCAUCCUCAAGAUUCUCCUAAAGUAUGUAUUCUCCUCUCCAACCCCAAUAUCAGCAAAACUCUUCAUGGAAUGCUAUUGGUAACAAAUAGUGAACAUGAUAAAUCAGGUAGGAGAACACUACUAAAAACAAGUCACAGAACAAUUUCAUCUUGACAAAUCAAUUAACAGCCAAGCAUUUGUUACACAGCCAUCUCAAGAUGCACCCAUCCAAUCCCUCGUGAUCAAAUUCUAACCUUUUUUUAAGGGUAGCCAAUCAUUCACGACACACCAAAGAAAUAUAAGUCAGAGGAAGAGCAACAAGAACAUAGCAGAUUAGAGCCAAGCAAAAAGAAUAAGCCACAUGGAAAGUUACCAAGAAGAAACCAUACCUCAUAUACUUAGAAACCAUAAAACCAUACUUCAUACACACACAAUUGCCAUGUAUUGACAACAAACAUCUAGAAAUAAAGCUUAGACAAGACUAGUAGUGCUGAUAGAUACUAAAACUUCAGACAUCGUUUUCCAGAUAGUCAAAGUCUACAUAUACUUGGCUCCUAGUAGGAAAACAGCCAUCCAAAUUUAUUGACUAGGCAAAAGCACCUCCAGUUUGGUGAAGCAUUGCAUCUAUUUCAUCCCCAUCUUCCAUUUCCAAC